This is a long non-coding RNA of Cervus elaphus (red deer), 374 nucleotides long. RefSeq lists it as uncharacterized. Lineage: Eukaryota; Metazoa; Chordata; Mammalia; Artiodactyla; Cervidae. The record is from RefSeq and is a predicted model, not a curated record. The transcript is spliced from 3 exons.
CAGCGGUUCACUAACAGCUGUGCAUCUGCCCCGGGCCCAUUACAAGAAAAAGGAGAGAGAUGAAUAACACAACUUCCUCAACCUUCUCUUAAGAAAGGAAGAGUGAGAUAAGCAGAAACUCAGGGAGGAAGAAAUCAUAGGCCAGACUUUGGCUCCAGCCAUAAGCACGCUGUCCAGUCCAGCUUCUACCAGAGACUGAUCCUGAAAGCUUCUGUUCUGUAGGUUAACUCCUGUGAUGCUCAGCCCCAACAUGCGACCCUAUAGACUAUAGCUCAGCACCAGGCUCCUCUGCCCAUGGGAUUCUCCAGGCAAGAAUAUUGGAGUGGUUGCCACUCCCUCCUCCAGGGGAACUUCAUGACCCAGGAAUCAAACCU